Molecule: ribosomal RNA, 1379 nt
Filed under: Cylindrospermopsis raciborskii NIVA-CYA 510
Lineage: Bacteria; Bacillati; Cyanobacteriota; Cyanophyceae; Nostocales; Aphanizomenonaceae
Description: bacterial SSU rRNA
Rfam family: Bacterial small subunit ribosomal RNA
Source: RNAcentral
GUAUGCUUAACACAUGCAAGUCGAACGGGAUGCUUAGGCAUCUAGUGGCGGACGGGUGAGUAACGCGUGAGAAUCUGGCUCCAGGUCGGGGAUAACAGUUGGAAACGACUGCUAAUACCGGAUGUGCCGAGAGGUGAAAGAUUUAUUGCCUGGAGAUGAGCUCGCGUCUGAUUAGCUAGUUGGUGGUGUAAGGGACCACCAAGGCGUCGAUCAGUAGCUGGUCUGAGAGGAUGAUCAGCCACACUGGGACUGAGACACGGCCCAGACUCCUACGGGAGGCAGCAGUGGGGAAUUUUCCGCAAUGGGCGAAAGCCUGACGGAGCAAUACCGCGUGAGGGAGGAAGGCUCUUGGGUCGUAAACCUCUUUUCUCAAGGAAGAAGAAAGUGACGGUACUUGAGGAAUAAGCAUCGGCUAACUCCGUGCCAGCAGCCGCGGUAAUACGGAGGAUGCAAGCGUUAUCCGGAAUGAUUGGGCGUAAAGGGUCUGCAGGUGGAACUGAAAGUCUGCUGUUAAAGAGUUUGGCUUAACCAAAUAAAAGCGGUGGAAACUACAGAACUAGAGUGCGGUAGGGGCAAAAGGAAUUCCUGGUGUAGCGGUGAAAUGCGUAGAUAUCAGGAAGAACACCGGUGGCGAAAGCGUUUUGCUAGACCGUAACUGACACUGAGGGACGAAAGCUAGGGGAGCGAAUGGGAUUAGAUACCCCAGUAGUCCUAGCCGUAAACGAUGGAUACUAGGCGUGGCUUGUAUCGACCCGAGCCGUGCCGGAGCUAACGCGUUAAGUAUCCCGCCUGGGGAGUACGCACGCAAGUGUGAAACUCAAAGGAAUUGACGGGGGCCCGCACAAGCGGUGGAGUAUGUGGUUUAAUUCGAUGCAACGCGAAGAACCUUACCAAGACUUGACAUCCUGCGAAUCCUGGUGAAAGCUGGGAGUGCCUUCGGGAGCGCAGAGACAGGUGGUGCAUGGCUGUCGUCAGCUCGUGUCGUGAGAUGUUGGGUUAAGUCCCGCAACGAGCGCAACCCUCGUUUUUAGUUGCCAGCAUUAAGUUGGGCACUCUAGAGAGACUGCCGGUGACAAACCGGAGGAAGGUGAGGAUGACGUCAAGUCAGCAUGCCCCUUACGUCUUGGGCUACACACGUACUACAAUGCUACGGACAGAGGGCAGCAAGCCAGGGAUGGCAAGCGAAUCCAGAAACCGUAGCUCAGUUCAGAUCGAAGGCUGCAACUCGCCUUCGUGAAGGAGGAAUCGCUAGUAAUUGCAGGUCAGCAUACUGCAGUGAAUUCGUUCCCGGGCCUUGUACACACCGCCCGUCACACCAUGGAAGUUGGUCACGCCCGAAGUCAUUACCCCAACCGAAAGGAGGGGGAUGCCUAAGGUAG